This 492-nucleotide ribosomal RNA is filed under the name uncultured bacterium. RNAcentral describes it as "partial 16S ribosomal RNA". It matches the Rfam family "Bacterial small subunit ribosomal RNA", at positions 29 to 507 of the family's 1533-position model. The record is from RNAcentral.
AGUGAACGCUGGCGGUGGGCCUAACACAUGCAAGUCGAACGGCAGCACAGUAAGAGCUUGCUCUUACGGGUGGCGAGUGGCGGACGGGUGAGGAAUACAUCGGAAUCUACUUUUUCGUGGGGGAUAACGUAGGGAAACUUACGCUAAUACCGCAUACGACCUACGGGUGAAAGCAGGGGAUCUUCGGACCUUGCGCGAUUGAAUGAGCCGAUGUCGGAUUAGCUAGUUGGCGGGGUAAAGGCCCACCAAGGCGACGAUCCGUAGCUCGUCUGAGAGGAUGAUCAGCCACACUGGAACUGAGACACGGUCCAGACUCCUACGGGAGGCAGCAGUGGGGAAUAUUGGACAAUGGGCGCAAGCCUGAUCCAGCCAUACCGCGUGGGUGAAGAAGGCCUUCGGGUUGUAAAGCCCUUUUGUUGGGAAAGAAAAGCAGCAGGUUAAUACCCCGCUGUUCUGACGGUACCCAAAGAAUAAGCACCGGCUAACUUCGUG